GUCUCCUGAUCAAACGAGAGAGUUCGAACAUUCAAAAUGCAAUUCUCUGAGUUCUCAAACCAAACAGAUGGUGGGCAUUCCAAAGCCUCUGAGACGAACGCACACAGGUAAGUCUCCUGAUCAAACGAGAGAGUUCGAACAUCUAAUUUUGCAAGCCAAAUAAACAACACCAAAGGCAACAUAAAGAUAACCAAAGUUACAUAACGUAAAUUAGCACACAAGUCUCAUCAUUCAUGGAUGAUGAGGACGACAGUAGCAACGCAGGCUUUAUGCAUCUGGAAUCCAACCGCAUACCAAAUCCAAACGAUCGUUUGGGGCAACAGCGAGGGGCGGAUCAAUGGAUGGUGCAGGUGGACGAAGAGGAGGGAUUCUUGUCUGCCGCUUUGUCAUCGACGACGGCGCCACCGCCGGA
RNAcentral lists this long non-coding RNA (412 nucleotides) under Musa acuminata (dwarf banana). RNAcentral describes it as "long non-coding RNA (MACU_LNC000923)". The record is from RNAcentral. Lineage: Eukaryota; Viridiplantae; Streptophyta; Magnoliopsida; Zingiberales; Musaceae.